CUUCCUCGUGGUCGCGCACCCGGUUGGAUUUCACAGUCAUGGAAGUUCUGCUUUAAAAUCCGUUUCUGAAGAAGUGUUAAUGUAUAAGAAAAACAGCAGACGAACACCAGGUGAGGGAGAGUGUAUUAAACACCUGGACGGUACUCCGCAAAUAUGACACAGUCACCAAAGACAAGUUUGAGAAUCUGUCUCAGACAAGAUCUUGACACUGCUGACCAGGGACAAAAUGUCCCAUUGACAGUCAUGCUCUGGAGCAGGAUGGGCAGUGAGAGACCAGAGACCACAGGAUGGGGGAAACACAAAUGCUGACCUCAAGGAGAAGCUGAAGCCAAGAGUAUUAAUCACAGUGGUGAAGAUAAGAAAGAUGACCCCAAGUAAGAAAGCCCAGAAAGGCACUUGCUGUUGACUCCCUCAGAAAGAACACCACGAAAGACCAUGGAUCAUGUAAAUAAGAAGAAGAAAGAAAGUAAGGAAGAAACACCAUACCUUGUUGAGAGCUGUAAAUGGUAUGAUAUUUUACUCCAUGUGGAGCUAACAAACUAGCCUGUCACAACUUCAAGGAUGCUGUCGGAAGACACAAGAUUCCUGGGUCAGAGCCAAAGGACCGUAUCAACGAUGGCAGUGCCUGGGCAUCCCACAUGUGUGUUUAUUCUCCUUGCCCAGAAAAAUGGUGUGGAACGCCCUCGAUGAAACGUGUACACAGUGGGUUGCAUGACAGGAGAAAAUCUCAGAGACUUAGGAACCCAAAUAUGUUAUUGUGAGCAGUGAGCAUUGCUGCCCUUGGCUCCCCGGGAAGACAACAUCUGUAUCUUCCAACAGUGUUAACUGCACAGACAUCCUUGAAAAGAUAGUCCAGAACAAAGGGUGGUUAGUGCCUUGCUGGCAAAAUGUGAUAAAAAUAUGACACUCUUUGAAAUUAUCGUCCAAUGUGUCUUUCCCAUAUGAAAUAGACAACACUUUAAACACAACUUUAAUUAAAUUUUUAUACAUUCCAAUUUGGGAAGCAGUGAUAAUUUAAAUUAUGACAAAAUUCACUGGAUGGCAGUGUCAGGGAGAGAAUGGGGAGGCCAUGCUGAGAAAAUGUUUAUACGUGCAAAGGAAGAGAAUUGCGUAGGACCUCAUAAACAGCUUUUGACUUUGCCAGUGACAAACUCAAGUGUGCUACGGAAGAGUCAGCUCCUGCAACCUGGAGCGGAGGCAAGGGGUCCGUCCUCAGUAAGUGUGGUGGGUCAAAUGGUGCCCCCAAAAACCUCAGAAUGUGACUGUGCUUGAAAUAAGAGUCUUUGCAGAGACAAAGAAGGAGACACAGAGAGACAAAGAGACGAAGAGAGGAGGGUGAUGUGAAGAUGGACGCAGAGAUCAAAUCCAUGAAGCUAAGGAAUUCCAGGAAGCGGAGAGAGCUGGGACAGAGAUAUGGAACAGACCCUCUCUCUGAGCUUCCAGAAGGUGUGAUUUUGGACUUCUCAUCCGCAGCU
This 1475-nucleotide long non-coding RNA is filed under the name Homo sapiens (human). RNAcentral's name for it is "HSALNT0355679". The record is from RNAcentral. Lineage: Eukaryota; Metazoa; Chordata; Mammalia; Primates; Hominidae.